AUCUAGUUAACGAGUCCCAAAUAGGACGAAAUGCGUGUCCAGGAU
Molecule: non-coding RNA, 45 nt
Organism: Schistosoma mattheei
Lineage: Eukaryota; Metazoa; Platyhelminthes; Trematoda; Strigeidida; Schistosomatidae
Source: Rfam